This 538-nucleotide ribosomal RNA is filed under the name uncultured bacterium. RNAcentral describes it as "bacterial SSU rRNA". It matches the Rfam family "Bacterial small subunit ribosomal RNA", at positions 81 to 614 of the family's 1533-position model. The record is from RNAcentral.
AACCCUGGCGGCGAGCGGCGAACGGGUGAGUAACAUAUCGGAACGUACCCCGUCGUGGGGGAUAACACAGCGAAAGCUGUGCUAAUACCGCAUACGACCUGAGGGUGAAAGCGGGGGAUCGCAAGACCUCGCGCGAUGGGAGCGGCCGAUAUCGGAUUAGCUUGUUGGUGAGGUAAAAGGCUCACCAAGGCGACGAUCCGUAGCUGGUCUGAGAGGACGACCAGCCACACUGGAACUGAGACACGGUCCAGACUCCUACGGGAGGCAGCAGUGGGGAAUUUUGGACAAUGGGGGCAACCCUGAUCCAGCCAUUCCGCGUGAGUGAAGAAGGCCUUCGGGUUGUAAAGCUCUUUCAGCAGGAACGAAACGGUGGCCACUAAUACUGGCUACUAAUGACGGUACCUGAAGAAGAAGCACCGGCUAACUACGUGCCAGCAGCCGCGGUAAUACGUAGGGUGCGAGCGUUAAUCGGAAUUACUGGGCGUAAAGCGUGCGCAGGCGGUUCCAUAAGACAGAUGUGAAAUCCCCGGGCUUAACC